AUGCAUUGCUGUCAGGUGUUUUUUAAAGCUCUGUUUAAUAAAAACUACCUGCACUGCAAAAUGUAUGCUCAGUGGAAAAUUCUCCAAUUAACACUUAAUCAAGUGGCCCAACAGACCACUUUUCCUCCCAGCUGGCCUCCAGCUUUGAAGAUAAUCACUGGCACCCAGACAGGAAGUCCCAGGGCUCAGCCGUGGGUUGGGGGAUCUCCUGUAAAGCCACAGCAACAGCCCCGUCACCCUAUUCUAUACCUCCUGAUUUGCCUUGGAUGUGGCGGUCUUUAGAACACUGGGCCAAAUACUGUAAACCAUUGAGGGUUUGCCUUCUUGAAUGCUCAUGUGUGGGUACACGAUAAGAUCCUUGUUGCGAUGUCUUUGCUGUGUCUUUGCUGAGACCAGCAUGUCCCAGCGAAGUUAAGCUUGACCAAAACCCGAGAGCAUGUUAGCAUUUGCCGUGGGAUUGACAAGACAGAGCUGCACUUGGUGGUCUGCUGAAUCAUUCUACGUGUUGUCAUCUAAUGGAUCCUUCCAGGCUUGUUCAGAUGGUUGGAGGGUUGUGUUUGAGAAUGGUAAUUCCUGCUUCAAAUCCUGAAUGAUAACUCGUAUGUGUAUACAUUUCCUUCUAAGAGGGAAGAUCUGCCCUGUAGACGUUACUUCUAUACUCUUCAUUUUCCUUCUGUCAAACUCUAAAUAAUGUGGCCUACAAAACUGAAAAAGCAGCAAAAAUAAAAUGUCUUUUGGUAAUGAUUUCA
This 749-nucleotide long non-coding RNA is filed under the name Ursus maritimus (polar bear). RNAcentral describes it as "lncRNA (ENSUMAG00000018203.1)". The record is from RNAcentral. Lineage: Eukaryota; Metazoa; Chordata; Mammalia; Carnivora; Ursidae.